GACGAACGCUGGCGGCGUGCUUAACACAUGCAAGUCGAACGGAAAGGCCCUGCUUUUGUGGGGUGCUCGAGUGGCGAACGGGUGAGUAACACGUGAGUAACCUGCCCUUGACUUUGGGAUAACUUCAGGAAACUGGGGCUAAUACCGGAUAGGAGCUCCUGCUGCAUGGUGGGGGUUGGAAAGUUUCGGCGGUUGGGGAUGGACUCGCGGCCUAUCAGCUUGUUGGUGGGGUAGUGGCUUACCAAGGCUUUGACGGGUAGCCGGCCUGAGAGGGUGACCGGCCACAUUGGGACUGAGAUACGGCCCAGACUCCUACGGGAGGCAGCAGUGGGGAAUAUUGCACAAUGGGCGGAAGCCUGAUGCAGCAACGCCGCGUGCGGGAUGACGGCCUUCGGGUUGUAAACCGCUUUCGCCUAUGACGAAGCGUGAGUGACGGUAAUGGGUAAAGAAGCACCGGCUAACUACGUG
Molecule: ribosomal RNA, 468 nt
Filed under: uncultured bacterium
Lineage: Bacteria
Description: partial 16S ribosomal RNA
Rfam family: Bacterial small subunit ribosomal RNA
Source: RNAcentral